CCUACGGGAGGCAGCAGUGAGGAAUAUUGGUCAAUGGGCGAGAGCCUGAACCAGCCAAGUCGCGUGAGGGAGUACUGCCCUAUGGGUUGUAAACCUCUUUUGUCGGGGAGCAAAAGCCGGACGUGUCCGGCUGUGAUAGUACCCGCAGAAAAAGCAUCGGCUAACUCCGUUCCAGCAGCCGCGGUAAUACGGAGGAUGCGAGGGUUAUCCGGAUUUAUUGGGGUUAAAGGGUGCUCAGGCGGAUUUUUAAGUCAGCGGUCAAAUCGUGGGGCUCAACCCCAUCCAGCCGUUGAAACUGGGGAUCUAGAGUGUGCGAGAGGUAUGCGGAAUGCGUGGUGUAGCGGUGAAAUGCAUAGAUAUCACGCAGAACCCCGAUUGCGAAGGCAGCAUACCGGUGCACAACUGACGCUCAGGCACGAAAGCGUGGGUAUCGAACAGGAUUAGAUACCCCGGUAGUC
This 458-nucleotide ribosomal RNA is filed under the name uncultured bacterium. RNAcentral describes it as "partial 16S ribosomal RNA". It matches the Rfam family "Bacterial small subunit ribosomal RNA", at positions 338 to 795 of the family's 1533-position model. The record is from RNAcentral.